This 466-nucleotide ribosomal RNA is filed under the name uncultured bacterium. RNAcentral's name for it is "partial 16S ribosomal RNA". It matches the Rfam family "Bacterial small subunit ribosomal RNA", at positions 28 to 507 of the family's 1533-position model. The record is from RNAcentral.
GACGAACGCUGGCGGCGCGCCUAACACAUGCAAGUCGAACGAGCGAGAGAGAGCUUGCUUUCUCAAGCGAGUGGCGAACGGGUGAGUAACGCGUGAGGAACCUGCCUCAAAGAGGGGGACAACAGUUGGAAACGACUGCUAAUACCGCAUAAGCCCACAGGUCGGCAUCGACCAGAGGGAAAAGGAGCAAUCCGCUUUGAGAUGGCCUCGCGUCCGAUUAGCUAGUUGGUGAGGUAACGGCCCACCAAGGCAACGAUCGGUAGCCGGACUGAGAGGUUGAACGGCCACAUUGGGACUGAGACACGGCCCAGACUCCUACGGGAGGCAGCAGUGGGGAAUAUUGCACAAUGGGGGAAACCCUGAUGCAGCGGCGCCGCGUGGAGGAAGAAGGUCUUCGGAUUGUAAACUCCUGUUGUUGAGGAAGAUAAUGACGGUACUCAACAAGGAAGUGACGGCUAACUACGUG